CAUCUCACAAAACAGACAUCUCACAAAACAGACGUAGCAGAAAACACAUAAUGGAUACCCAGCAGAUAUGCCAAUACAGAAAACACAUUCAUGGGCAUGCAACUACACACUCUGUGUCCCUGCUAGGAAACACGGGUAGACACAAUAUGAAAGCAGUCUUAAACUAACACCUCCAAAUCUCCAUUCCCAUAUAGCUAUAUCAGACCACAACACAGAGCCUCUCUGAGCUCAUAGAACUACUCCAAC
This 246-nucleotide long non-coding RNA is filed under the name Pelobates cultripes (western spadefoot toad). Lineage: Eukaryota; Metazoa; Chordata; Amphibia; Anura; Pelobatidae. The record is from RNAcentral.